UAAUACGUAGGUGGCAAGCGUUAUCCGGAAUUAUUGGGCGUAAAGAGUGAGCAGGCGGCUAUUUAAGUCUGAAGUCAAAUGCAGUGGCUCAACCACUGUCCGCUUUGGAAACUGGAUGGCUAGAGUACGAGAGAAGUAUGCGGAAUUCCAUGUGUAGCGGUGAAAUGCGUAGAUAUAUGGAGGAACACCAGAGGCGAAGGCGGCAUACUAGAUCGAUACUGACGCUCAGUCACGAAAGCGUGGGUAGCAAAUAGGAUUAGAUACCCUGGUAGUCCACGCCGUAAACGAUGAGAACUAGGUGUAGGGGCGAACCCUGUGCCGAAGCUAACGCAUU
Molecule: ribosomal RNA, 334 nt
Filed under: uncultured Clostridium sp.
Lineage: Bacteria; Bacillati; Bacillota; Clostridia; Eubacteriales; Clostridiaceae
Description: bacterial SSU rRNA
Rfam family: Bacterial small subunit ribosomal RNA
Source: RNAcentral